Molecule: ribosomal RNA, 428 nt
Filed under: uncultured prokaryote
Description: bacterial SSU rRNA
Rfam family: Bacterial small subunit ribosomal RNA
Source: RNAcentral
UGAGGAAUAUUGCGCAAUGGGGGCAACCCUGACGCAGCGACGCCGCGUGAGUGAGGAAGGCCUUCGGGUCGUAAAGCUCUGUCAAAGGGAAAGAAAUGCAUAAUGGCUAAUACCUGUUAUGUUUGACGGUACCCUUAAAGGAAGCACCGGCUAACUCCGUGCCAGCAGCCGCGGUAAUACGGAGGGUGCCAGCGUUGUUCGGAAUUACUGGGCGUAAAGGGCGCGUAGGCGGUGUUAUAAGUCAGAUGUGAAAGCCCACGGCUUAACUGUGGAAGGGCAUUUGAAACUGUCAGACUGGAUAACCAGAGGGGAAAGUGGAAUUCCCGGUGUAGAGGUGAAAUUCGUAGAUAUCGGGAGGAAUACCGGUGGCGAAGGCGACUUUCUGGCUGGAUACUGACGCUGAGGCGCGAAAGCGUGGGGAGCAAACA